Molecule: long non-coding RNA, 1409 nt
Filed under: Felis catus (domestic cat)
Lineage: Eukaryota; Metazoa; Chordata; Mammalia; Carnivora; Felidae
Description: lncRNA (ENSFCAG00000051733.1)
Source: RNAcentral
UGAGGCUUUAGGCAAGUAAUUUAACCUCACUGUUUCCCAGUUUCCUUAUUUAUAAAAUGGGGUAAUAGUAAUACUUACAACAUAGGUUUGGGCCAGUUUUUAAAUGAGUUAGAACAUGAGACACUUAACACAGUGCCUGACACACAAAUAUAGACUUAGCAAAUAUUAGCUGUUAUUGUUGCUGUAGUUUACUGGCUGAUUUUUCUGUUCCAGGUUUCUCUCUUCCACAAUUUAUGAAGCCCACAUAAACUGGAAUAAUCUUCAAACACUGGCUUCUGUACAGUAUCUUUUUGCCUGAGUCUCCAGAGUGGUGGCCCACUGUUGCCUUCAGCUGCGGCCACUAUCCUGAUGCUCCUCAUGACCAGCCCUCACAUGUGCUUUGUGCUUCAAUGAAGGGGACACUUGUGCAAUCAGAUUCCAGGUGUUUUCCUAUGUACAUGCAGCCUUUGAGAAGUUCAAGCCAUAAGAAUUAAGCUUUGGAUGCAGACCCCAGAAAGAGGUGACAGCCGGUGUAUAGCAGCACUGUUGGAACAGAGAAUAAAGAGGCACAUUGGACACAGCAGCUGCACCUCCCAGACCCUGAAAUUUAAGAUCUUUAUAAAUGAUCUGUUAAAACUAUGGUGACGAUAAGCUUAUGAAUCAUGAUCUAUAUUAAUCAGGGCUGCUGAUAUGGAAAGAUUAAUUGAAACGUGCAGUUCUACACAAAUGAUAAAGUGGUAACAAUUUAAUAUCAGACAAGAAGAGUGAAGAAAUUACACUCCAAGCUUCAUGCAUCAUUACUAUGGAUAUUAAUAUUUUACCCAGCGCAACAGCAUCGGGAAUCAUAAUGAAAAUCCAUAAGUGGUGCACAGACAUGAUUAAAUACAACAGUCUUUAGGAGCUGUUUGGUGGCGGCAGUUGGGCCAUAUUUCACUCGGUGGCUGGUGAUUUCAGUGAUAGAGUCUAGACGAGGGUGAUUAAAAAUUGUUCCUCCUAAAGGCUGUUAACCUUUUACUACUAAAAUGAAUUUCUUUGAUUUUUAAAUUAUGUCGUUCUCUGUGCUCUUUUCAAAACCAAACUUGAUCCCAAACAUUGACAGGAUGCUGGGUUCCUGGUGUACUGACAGUACCCUAUCAUAGAGGUGGCAUUAAUGGAGGGUCAUUGCCUACCUUACGAGAGCUGGCUGGAGUGAGUGGUGAACCAUUAGGGAAUCCUGGGUAGUUCCCAAAGACCAGAGUUGAUAAGGCUAACUUCCUCACCCAACCUUACCAGAGUGGGGAUAGAAAUUACUUAUUCUGAGAUUCUGAUCUCAGUAAGUUAGUUCAUUCACUUACUGAGUCACACAUCUAACCAACAAUGAAACAAAUGUACACCUAUACCUGGGAAAUGCAAAAAUACACCCCAAAGAACACAUUCCAAGCUGAGAAGAG